GGAAGAGAUCUAGCAGCUUUAGAUGAAUGCAAAACUCCCAGUUAACAGCAUGAAUUAGAACUUUAAAGCUAAUUUUCCCAGAUCAUAAUGAUUUAGCCAGCAAUUUGAACACCGACUUCAGCCCACUAUAUAACUAGCCGAAUAUAGCAGCUUUUGUUAAUAAUUCGAUAAUUAAGCUGAUGCAUAACAAAACAGCACAAUUUUUAACCAUAUAGGCACUAGCUAAUAGACAUGUUAACUCAAGAUUACAAUGCAUUUAGAAAUAAAGGUGAAGAAUCUAAUCAUAAAACAAGGACAGCAAAAGGAAGACAUAUCAGAACAAGCCCUAAAGGUUACCACACAAGACGAUUUAAACCAAUCCAACACCACCUCCUUUUUUCCACAUACAGGGAUGAAAGAGAGAGAGAUUGUUCAACACCCUGGCCACAUGCACAUUAGCACAUACAACUGGUAAACUAAUAU
RNAcentral lists this unclassified non-coding RNA (462 nucleotides) under Hevea brasiliensis (rubber tree). Lineage: Eukaryota; Viridiplantae; Streptophyta; Magnoliopsida; Malpighiales; Euphorbiaceae. The record is from RNAcentral.